GGUGAAGGGCUGUGGCUCAGUAGGAGAGCAUCUGCUUUGCAUGCAGAAUGCUCCAGGUUUGAUUCCCCAGUAUUACCU
Non-coding RNA from Podarcis lilfordi (Lilford's wall lizard), 78 nucleotides. The record is from the annotation of a GenBank genome assembly. NCBI's taxonomy places the organism in Eukaryota, Metazoa, Chordata, Lepidosauria, Squamata, Lacertidae.